This 451-nucleotide ribosomal RNA is filed under the name uncultured organism. RNAcentral describes it as "partial 16S ribosomal RNA". It matches the Rfam family "Bacterial small subunit ribosomal RNA", at positions 331 to 798 of the family's 1533-position model. The record is from RNAcentral.
GUACACUCCUGCGGGAGGCAGCAGUGGGGAAUAUUGGACAAUGGGCGCAAGCCUGAUCCAGCCAUGCCGCGUGAGUGAUGAAGGCCCUAGGGUUGUAAAGCUCUUUCACCGGAGAAGAUAAUGACGGUAUCCGGAGAAGAAGCCCCGGCUAACUUCGUGCCAGCAGCCGCGGUAAUACGAAGGGGGCUAGCGUUGUUCGGAAUUACUGGGCGUAAAGCGCACGUAGGCGGAUCGAUCAGUCAGGGGUGAAAUCCCAGGGCUCAACCCUGGAACUGCCUUUGAUACUGUCGAUCUGGAGUAUGGAAGAGGUGAGUGGAAUUCCGAGUGUAGAGGUGAAAUUCGUAGAUAUUCGGAGGAACACCAGUGGCGAAGGCGGCUCACUGGUCCAUUACUGACGCUGAGGUGCGAAAGCGUGGGGAGCAAACAGGAUUAGAUACCCGAGUAGUCCCAU